This is a long non-coding RNA of Phyllostomus hastatus (greater spear-nosed bat), 222 nucleotides long. RefSeq lists it as uncharacterized. The record is from RefSeq and is a predicted model, not a curated record. Lineage: Eukaryota; Metazoa; Chordata; Mammalia; Chiroptera; Phyllostomidae. The transcript is spliced from 3 exons.
GCGGUGCCUCAGGGACAAGGCGGACGUACAGUUCUCUGGGAGAAUGGUCAGUUCCAGGACGAGUAGCAGUCAGAUUAUGGACAUGAUUUGGGAAAUGUGUGUGAGAAACAAAACCCAGUUAUAAGUUUUACUGAGAAGGAGUUGACGUCAUCACUGCGUGAGUCGGAGGUGCAUGCACAGCACGAUGGUUUGACUUCGAUGCACUGUGACAGCAGCCGUGUG